RNAcentral lists this ribosomal RNA (567 nucleotides) under Naganishia albidosimilis. RNAcentral describes it as "partial large subunit ribosomal RNA". It matches the Rfam family "Eukaryotic large subunit ribosomal RNA", at positions 51 to 621 of the family's 3401-position model. The record is from RNAcentral. Lineage: Eukaryota; Fungi; Basidiomycota; Tremellomycetes; Filobasidiales; Filobasidiaceae.
CGGAGGAAAAGAAACUAACAAGGAUUCCCCUAGUAACGGCGAGUGAAGCGGGAAGAGCUCAAAUUUGAAAUCUGGUAGCCUUCGGUUGCCCGAGUUGUAAUCUAGAGAAAUGUUUUCCGUGCCGGCCCAUGUACAAGUCCCUUGGAACAGGGCGUCAUAGAGGGUGAGAAUCCCGUCCUUGACAUGGACCCCCGGUGCUUUGUGAUACAUUUUCAACGAGUCGAGUUGUUUGGGAAUGCAGCUCAAAAUGGGUGGUGAAUUCCAUCUAAAGCUAAAUAUUGGCGAGAGACCGAUAGCGAACAAGUACCGUGAGGGAAAGAUGAAAAGCACUUUGGAAAGAGAGUUAAACAGUACGUGAAAUUGUUGAAAGGGAAACGAUUGAAGUCAGUCAUGCUCUUUGGUAUUUAUAUCAUUGAGUGGGGUCAACAUCAGUUUUGAUCGAUGGAUAAAGGCACUAGGAAGGUAGCACUCUCGGGUGAACUUAUAGCCUAGCGUCAUAUACAUUGAUUGGGACUGAGGAACGCAGCAUGCCUUUAUGGCCGGGAUUCGUCCACGUACAUGCUUAGG